RNAcentral lists this ribosomal RNA (506 nucleotides) under uncultured bacterium. RNAcentral's name for it is "partial 16S ribosomal RNA". It matches the Rfam family "Bacterial small subunit ribosomal RNA", at positions 29 to 523 of the family's 1533-position model. The record is from RNAcentral.
AGUGAACGCUGGCGGUAGGCCUAACACAUGCAAGUUGAACGGCAGCGCAGAGGAGCUUGCUACUUGGGUGGCGAGUGGCGGACGGGUGAGGAAUACAUCGGAAUCUACUCUGGCGAGGGGGAACACGUGGGGAAACUUACGCUAAUAACGCAUACGACCUGCUGGUCAAAGCAGGGGAUCUUCGUACAUUGCGCGAUUCGAUGAGCCGAUGUCGGAUUAGCUAGUUGGCGGGGUAAAGGCCCACAAAUGCGCCGAUCCGUAGCUGGUCUGAGAGGAUGAUCAGCCACACUGGAACUCAGACACGGUACAGACUCCUACGGGAGGCAGCAGUGGGGAAUAUUGGACAAUGGGCUCAAGCCUGAUCCAGCCAUACCGAGUGGGUGAAGAAGGCCUUCGGGUUGUAAAGCCCUUUUGUUGGGAAAGAAAUCCAUCUGGUUAAUACCCGGGUGGGAUGACGGUACCCAAAGAAUAAGCACCGGCUAACUUCGUGCCAGCCGCCGCCGUAA